RNAcentral lists this ribosomal RNA (2901 nucleotides) under Proteus mirabilis. RNAcentral's name for it is "23S ribosomal RNA". It matches the Rfam family "Bacterial large subunit ribosomal RNA". The record is from RNAcentral. Lineage: Bacteria; Pseudomonadati; Pseudomonadota; Gammaproteobacteria; Enterobacterales; Morganellaceae.
GGUUAAGCGAAUAAGCGUACACGGUGGAUGCCUAGGCAAUCAGAGGCGAUGAAGGACGUGCUAAUCUGCGAAAAGCGUCGGUAAGGUGAUAUGAACCGUUAUACCCGACGAUAUCCGAAUGGGGAAACCCAGUAUCCAAUGGAUACUAUCAUUAACUGAAUCCAUAGGUUAAUGAGGCGAACCGGGAGAACUGAAACAUCUCAGUACCCCGAGGAAAAGAAAUCAACCGAGAUUCCCCUAGUAGCGGCGAGCGAACGGGGAGCAGCCCAGAGUCUUAAUCAAUAGCAGUGUCAGGAGAACGGUCUGGAAAGUCCGGCAGUAAAGGGUGAUAGCCCCGUAUCUGAAGAUGCUGUUAUUGUGAACUCGACGAGUAGGGCGGGACACGUGUUAUCCUGUCUGAAUAUGGGGGGACCAUCCUCCAAGGCUAAAUACUCCUGAUUGACCGAUAGUGAACCAGUACCGUGAGGGAAAGGCGAAAAGAACCCCGGCGAGGGGAGUGAAAAAGAACCUGAAACCGUGUACGUACAAGCAGUAGGAGCCUCUUUAUGGGGUGACUGCGUACCUUUUGUAUAAUGGGUCAGCGACUUAUAUUCUGUAGCAAGGUUAACCGUAUAGGGGAGCCGUAGGGAAACCGAGUCUUAACUGGGCGAAUGAGUUGCAGGGUAUAGACCCGAAACCCGGUGAUCUAUCCAUGGGCAGGUUGAAGGUUGGGUAACACUAACUGGAGGACCGAACCGACUAAUGUUGAAAAAUUAGCGGAUGACUUGUGGAUGGGGGUGAAAGGCCAAUCAAACCGGGAGAUAGCUGGUUCUCCCCGAAAGCUAUUUAGGUAGCGCCUCGUGAAUUCAUCUUCGGGGGUAGAGCACUGUUUCGACUAGGGGGUCAUCCCGACUUACCAACUCGAUGCAAACUGCGAAUACCGAAGAAUGUUAUCACGGGAGACACACGGCGGGUGCUAACGUCCGUCGUGAAGAGGGAAACAACCCAGACCGCCAGCUAAGGUCCCAAAGUCAUGGUUAAGUGGGAAACGAAGUGGGAAGGCUCAGACAGCCAGGAUGUUGGCUUAGAAGCAGCCAUCAUUUAAAGAAAGCGUAAUAGCUCACUGGUCGAGUCGGCCCGCGCGGAAGAUGUAACGGGGCUAAACCAUGCACCGAAGCUGCGGCAGCGACACAAAGUGUUGUUGGGUAGGGGAGCGUUCUGUAAGCCUGCGAAGGUGUACUGUGAGGUAUGCUGGAGGUAUCAGAAGUGCGAAUGCUGACAUAAGUAACGAUAAUGCGGGUGAAAAACCCGCACGCCGGAAGACCAAGGGUUCCUGUCCAACGUUAAUCGGGGCAGGGUGAGUCGACCCCUAAGGCGAGGCUGAAAAGCGUAGUCGAUGGGAAACGGGUUAAUAUUCCCGUACUGGUGGUAACUGCGAUGGGGGAACGGAGAAGGCUAGGUUGUCCGGGCGACGGUCGUCCCGGUUCAAGCAGGUAGGCAGAGUGAUUAGGCAAAUCCGGUCACUUAAUGCUGAGAUGUGAUGACGAACCACCAAGGUGGUGAAGCAAUUGAUGCCCCGCUUCCAGGAAAAGCCUCUAAGCUUCAGGUUACCAACAAUCGUACCCCAAACCGACACAGGUGGUCAGGUAGAGAAUACUCAGGCGCUUGAGAGAACUCGGGUGAAGGAACUAGGCAAAAUGGUGCCGUAACUUCGGGAGAAGGCACGCUGGCGGUAGGUAAAGUCCCUCGCGGACAGAGCUGAAGCCAGUCGAAGAUACCAGCUGGCUGCAACUGUUUAUUAAAAACACAGCACUGUGCAAACACGAAAGUGGACGUAUACGGUGUGACGCCUGCCCGGUGCUGGAAGGUUAAUUGAUGGGGUUAGCGCAAGCGAAGCUCCUGAUCGAAGCCCCAGUAAACGGCGGCCGUAACUAUAACGGUCCUAAGGUAGCGAAAUUCCUUGUCGGGUAAGUUCCGACCUGCACGAAUGGCGUAAUGAUGGCCAGGCUGUCUCCACCCGAGACUCAGUGAAAUUGAACUCGCUGUGAAGAUGCAGUGUACCCGCGGCAAGACGGAAAGACCCCGUGAACCUUUACUAUAGCUUGACACUGAACAUUGAGCCUUGAUGUGUAGGAUAGGUGGGAGGCUUUGAAGUGUGGACGCCAGUCUGCAUGGAGCCAACCUUGAAAUACCACCCUUUAACGUUUGAUGUUCUAACCUAGGCCCAUAAACUGGGUCGGGGACCGUGUCUGGUGGGUAGUUUGACUGGGGCGGUCUCCUCCUAAAGAGUAACGGAGGAGCACGAAGGUUGGCUAAGCAUGGUCGGACAUCAUGCGGUUAGUGCAAAGGCAUAAGCCAGCUUGACUGCGAGAGUGACGGCUCGAGCAGGUACGAAAGUAGGUCUUAGUGAUCCGGUGGUUCUGAAUGGAAGGGCCAUCGCUCAACGGAUAAAAGGUACUCCGGGGAUAACAGGCUGAUACCGCCCAAGAGUUCAUAUCGACGGCGGUGUUUGGCACCUCGAUGUCGGCUCAUCACAUCCUGGGGCUGAAGUAGGUCCCAAGGGUAUGGCUGUUCGCCAUUUAAAGUGGUACGCGAGCUGGGUUUAGAACGUCGUGAGACAGUUCGGUCCCUAUCUGCCGUGGGCGUUGGAAGAUUGAGAGGGGUUGCUCCUAGUACGAGAGGACCGGAGUGAACGCACCACUGGUGUUCGGGUUGUCAUGCCAAUGGCAUUGCCCGGUAGCUAAGUGCGGAAGAGAUAACCGCUGAAAGCAUCUAAGCGGGAAACUUGCCUCGAGAUGAGUCUUCCCUGUCGCUUUAAGCGACCUAAAGGAACGUUUAAGACUAAGACGUUGAUAGGCUGGGUGUGUAAGCGUAGCGAUACGUUGAGCUAACCAGUACUAAUGAACCGUGAGGCUUAACCUG